Molecule: ribosomal RNA, 222 nt
Filed under: uncultured bacterium
Lineage: Bacteria
Description: partial 16S ribosomal RNA
Rfam family: Bacterial small subunit ribosomal RNA
Source: RNAcentral
UGAGCAACCUGCCCUUGACCCUGGAAUAACAGCUGGAAACAGCUGCUAAUACCGGAUACGAUCUCCGAUGGCAUCAUCUGGAGGUGGAAAGCUCCGACGGUCAAGGAUGGGCUCGCGGCCUAUCAGCUUGUUGGUGAGGUAACGGCUCACCAAGGCUUCGACGGGUAGCCGGCCUGAGAGGAUGGCCAGCCACAUUGGGACUGAGACACGGCCCAGACUCCG